CCUACGGGUGGCAGCCGUGAGGAAUAUUGGUCAAUGGGCGCGAGCCUGAACCAGCCAAGUCGCGUGCAGGAAGACGGUCCUCUGGGUUGUAAACCUCUUUUGUCGGGGAUCAAAAGACGCCCCGCGUGGCGUUCCGAGCGUACCCUAAGAACAAGCAUCGGCUAAUUCCGUGCCAGCAGCCGCGGUACUACGGAGAAUGCGCGCGUUAUCCGUAUUUAUUGGGUUUAAAGGGGGCGCAGGCGGAAGAUAAAGACAGCGGUAAAAUUGAGAGGCUCAACCGCUUCGCGCCGUUGAACCUGGUUUACUUGAGUGAGUGAGAGGUAUGCGGAAUGCGUGGUGUAGCGGUGAAAUGCAUAGAUAUCACGAAGAACUCCGAGUGCGAAGGCAGCAUACCGGCGCUCAACUGACGCUCAGGCACGAAAGUGGGGGUAUCGAACAGGAUUAGAUACCCUAGUAGUC
RNAcentral lists this ribosomal RNA (459 nucleotides) under uncultured bacterium. RNAcentral's name for it is "partial 16S ribosomal RNA". It matches the Rfam family "Bacterial small subunit ribosomal RNA", at positions 338 to 795 of the family's 1533-position model. The record is from RNAcentral.